UCUGGUUUAAUAGAAUUGUGGAGGCAGCAGAUCAAGCAAUUCCAAAACGUUGGUGCUGAAAUAGCUGAAGCUAUAGCAUCAAAGUAUCCUUCUCCACAACUGUUAUUACAGGCUUAUAAACAUUGUAGCACCAUAAAAGAAAAAGAAACUUUGCUGCAAGAUAUUGUAGUGAGGAGAAAUUAUGGACCGUUAGGCACACAGCGGCGCAUUGGUCCUGAACUCUCAUACAAGAUUUAUCUCUUCUUUUCAUCAAGAGAUGGUGAUCAAGUCCUUCAGCGAUAAGAUAUUGUGUAGCUGUACAUACUUUUUGUGAUACUUAAAAUAUAUUUUUGUAAUUGGAGUUGCCACAGAGCAAAAAUAAUUUUUUCUUCUAUUAAAAAAGCUUCUGAAUAUGCUAUAUUUUCUAUUCAAAUGAUUUUAAAUUCAAUAAUAAAUAUCAAGGUUUAAACUUCUAACUAUAUCCUUUUGUAAUGUACUGGAUAAAAGUAGUGCAUUCAAAUUUUUUAACUAUUGUUUUUGGAUUUUUAAAUGUACAUAAGAAGGUGAAAUAAGAGAGCGAACAAUAUAACAACUAGCUGUUAAGAACUUUGUAGUAAUAUAGGUUUUUAUGUGAACCAUACAGAAGCAAAUUUUUAAAAAACUGCUGUUUGUGUUUUGAUGUGUAUAUUGUUUCUAUUAAAUAUUGUUUAAUUAAAUGUUAAAAUGUUUUUUAAGCAGAAUUUUUUUUAAACUUUGCUUUUGCUUUCUUAUUUUAAAAAAGCAUAGUACUUUUCGAACAAUAGUUUUCUGAACUUAAUAUCUGUGUUGUUGG
Uloborus diversus is the source of this 811-nucleotide long non-coding RNA. RefSeq lists it as uncharacterized. Lineage: Eukaryota; Metazoa; Arthropoda; Arachnida; Araneae; Uloboridae. The record is from RefSeq and is a predicted model, not a curated record. The transcript is spliced from 3 exons.